GAUGCCUCGGUGUCGAGAGGCGAAGAAGGACGUGGCACUCUGCGAUAAGCCGCGGGGAGAUGAGAGCGAUCUUUGAUCCGCGGAUUUCCGAAUGGGGAAACCCGGCCCUUUAGGGUCAUCGUACGGUGAAUACAUAGCCGUGCGAGGCGAACCCGGGGAACUGAAACAUCUCAGUACCCGGAGGAAAGGACAUCAACCGAGACUCCGUUAGUAGUGGCGAGCGAACGCGGACUAGCCCAGUGGCUCAGACAAGCGAACCGGAACCGGCUGGAAAGCCGGGCCAGAGCGGGUGACAGCCCCGUACGGGUAAGGGUUUGUUUGGGUCCUCGAGUAGGGCGGGACACGUGAAAUCCUGUCUGAACAUGGGGGGACCACCCUCCAAGGCUAAGUACUCCUCGACAACCGAUAGUGAACAAGUACCGUGAGGGAAAGGUGAAAAGCACCCCGACGAGGGGAGUGAAAGAGACCCUGAAACCGAAUGCCUACAAUCAGUCGGAGCCCGCAAGGGUGACGGCGUACCUUUUGCAUAAUGGGUCAGCGAGUUGGUCUUACGAGCAAGCUUAAGCCGAUGAGGUGUAGGCGCAGCGAAAGCGAGUCUGAACAGGGCGUUCAGUUCGUGGGAUCAGACCCGAAACCGGGUGAUCUAGCCAUGGGCAGGCUGAAGGUGGGGUAACACCCACUGGAGGGCCGAACCCACGUU
This 700-nucleotide ribosomal RNA is filed under the name Symbiodinium sp. CCMP2430. RNAcentral describes it as "partial Bacterial large subunit ribosomal RNA". It matches the Rfam family "Bacterial large subunit ribosomal RNA", at positions 27 to 786 of the family's 2925-position model. The record is from RNAcentral. Lineage: Eukaryota; Dinophyceae; Suessiales; Symbiodiniaceae.